AGAGGAAAAGUCAUUUCCCAGAGAUCUCAAUCCGAGUGAAAAGGUCACCUUUGGAUGAGCAGCUGGAAAUGGCUCCCGUCUCAGGAGGCUUGGCAGGAAUGCCAGAGCUGGCCCCCGGAGACCCCAGGAGGACAAGAGACAGGCUCUGGCUGACCACCUCCAGAUGCCCUGACCUCUGCCUGUGUGACAGCUCACGCCGGAGCCCCACGCCCUGCCACCCUUGCCCAGCGGCUGGAGGCCCGCAGUUC
Molecule: long non-coding RNA, 248 nt
Organism: Bubalus bubalis (water buffalo)
Lineage: Eukaryota; Metazoa; Chordata; Mammalia; Artiodactyla; Bovidae
Exons: 2
Source: RefSeq, a predicted model, not a curated record